Molecule: long non-coding RNA, 862 nt
Filed under: Marmota monax (woodchuck)
Lineage: Eukaryota; Metazoa; Chordata; Mammalia; Rodentia; Sciuridae
Source: RNAcentral
UGACCCAUAUUAGGUGCUCAAUAAAUAUUUGUUUCUUGAAUGUCUCCUCUUUCCACUCUGGCAAACUUAAAUUUCUUCCAUUCUGGAUUACCCUGCAUUUCUUUCUGGUACCCACUUUUCACAUCUGUCCAGUUAAUGUCUUCUGUUUCCAAAAUGAUUCUCCCGAGAGCUGGUUCUUGUCCAGAUCCCAUUUAGAACUAGCCAGGUGCUUUCAGUGGCCACCAUCCUAAGGCAAAUUAGCACCAGGUAGAAGGUAGCAGCAGGUAGAAAUCACUUGUGAUGGGGAUUGGAUUUUUCAUCUUAGGACAGUUUUUUAAAGAGGGGAAUCUAUGCUUUUACAGUCAUUUUUAGGCAUUUCCAUGCUCCAUCUCUCAGCUUCAGGAGAGGUGUUAACAGUAUUAUUUCCAUUUGCUGCCUCCCUCUCAGCUGUCCCGAGUUGUGCUCUCCCUUUGGAGGAAUCUGCCCCACUCUGGGAGGUGUGAAUCCUUCCUCUUUCUGCUUUACCUCUCUCAAAAAGGAGAAGGCCAGCCUUGGUCCCUAAGCUUCCAGAAUUGCCCUCCCCAACCCCCACCUUUUCACCCCACUCCAAAGAGUAACAUGCCUGAUAUGUGGAAAGGUAUGUACUAUCACCUAAAUGUGAGUCACUCCAGAGGAGGGGCAACAAAACCCUUUUUAAAAAAUGUUCUCAUUUCUUUUGCUAUUGCUUUUUCCUUCCUACUGUUGAUUUUGUCCUAUCCUACCCUUCAGAUUUCUAAUUUGUGUUGAACUUGCUGCUUUUUUCAUAUUGAAAAGAUGACAUUGCCCCAAGAGCCAAAAAUAAAUGGGAAUUGGAAAAUAAAAUAAAAUAAAAUACUCAAAGAAC